UCUGACCCAGAGAGGAGCGAGCACGAGGCUGCGCUAACAACGUGUCAGCUCCCCGUCGAGUGGUCGCGCACGCGCAGACGCGGCUGGAGGGCCGUGCGCGCGCUUCCCCGCGAGGCACGCCGGUCCUCGGGAAGGAGAUCGAUAGCUGUUAGGAAGCGGCCGCGAGGUUGUGUUUCUCCUCCCUCUAAUGCACGCAGCUCGCGAAUUGUUUCAGUAAAAGCACACAGCCAUUGCUUUUAUGUGCUCAACGGCUAUUACUGUAACAACUAAAUAUUACCAGCAGCACAUUCGCCAUGCCUCCGGCUCCAAGAGGCUAUAUUUGUUUGGCUAGUUUAAGUGAUGACGAGAACGACUAUUUUUAGCUUUUUCAACAGCAAUAACCGUGAAAGAAUUGAAGAACGCCAUUAUUUCCCAGCUCUGUAUUGGAGGCAAUGACUCAACUACAACAUAUUACUUGUCCCUGUGAAUUCACAUGACUUCUUUUUAUUUUUUUAUACCGAUUUACAGGGAGGGACUCUCAAAAUAGCAACCAAGUGGAACGGACUGUCUUGGAGCCAUGUGCCUGUAACACAUGUUGAAUGGAUGCUUUAUUAAGACAGGUCAUGUUGUUUCAAUAAACGCAUGACAAAUUGCAUCCGAGGCGAGAGAACAUUGUGAUAUUGCUCAUUUUCAUGAACGAGAGAUCCGCUGUAAAACUGUCGGCAGCCAACUUUUCUUUAUUGCCGUUAUAUUGCUGUGACCUAUUCAGAGGCUUGACCUGUGUUUUAUUUGGGUGAGUGGAGAACAUGCACUCCUAAUGCCCACAUAUUUGACGCAUGCAUGGUGUUUUUUUUUUUUGCAGCAGCAGCGACUGGAUUCUGUUUGGACCGGACCGUGUUCCAGCUCAUCACGCUAGGGGGCCCGAAAGCUGUGCAGGAAAAAAAAAAAAAAGAAAGAGAAAAGGCCCUGUGGUUUGUGCCACCACGUCACAAAUGUGUGAUGCUCGGCAUGAUGUAGAGUGGUUUUUAUCUGCCGUAAGCUGGUUUCCUCCCACAUUCGGAAGAAGCACUCGACUUCGAAAAGAAAAUACACAAAACCAGACGCAGGAGUUGAGGACUCAGAGCCAGUCUCACUAGCGUCCGUACGUGCACACGGGGGUGUUUGUGCAGUCACACAGGUCACCGCCGGCUCGACCCCUCUAAUGGACUGUGAUGAUCUCUGACCCGUCUGCUCAUCACAGCCUUCACUGACUCGGCUCAAGAGUCGGCUUGCGCCUCGUCACAACAGCCCCCAAAGAAAAGCGAGGACCGGCCGUGGGUCUGUCAGCACGUCAGGCCUCUGCCCUGCAGCCGCCGGGCCUGGUGGGAGGAGGAAGCGGGUGUGAUGUUUGCCGAUUAUCUGACUGACAGGAAAGCCCUUUGUCUCAGGGCUUAGCAGACAGAGAAGAAGAUGACGCAAGCGCCGGAGGACAGAAAGGCCCAUUCCACCGGUACUGGGUGCAACUUCUCCUGGCUUCCUGCAGCUCCCAGCCAAAGAAACGCGGA
Long non-coding RNA from Betta splendens (Siamese fighting fish), 1523 nucleotides. RefSeq lists it as uncharacterized. The transcript has 2 exons. The record is from RefSeq and is a predicted model, not a curated record. Lineage: Eukaryota; Metazoa; Chordata; Actinopteri; Anabantiformes; Osphronemidae.